UACGGAGGACCCAAGCGUUAUCCGGAAUUACUGGGCGUAAAGAGUUGCGUAGGUGGCAGAGUAAGUCUGUAGUGAAAUUGUGUGGCUCAACCAUACACCCAUUACCGAAACUGCUCAGCUAGAGAAUGAGAGAGGUUAUUGGAAUUCCCAGUGUAGGAGUGAAAUCCGUAGAUAUUGGGAGGAACACCGAUGGCGUAGGCAGAUAACUGGCUCAUUUCUGACACUAAGGCACGAAAGCGUGGGGAGCAAACGGG
RNAcentral lists this ribosomal RNA (254 nucleotides) under uncultured bacterium. Its description in RNAcentral is "partial 16S ribosomal RNA". It matches the Rfam family "Bacterial small subunit ribosomal RNA", at positions 524 to 776 of the family's 1533-position model. The record is from RNAcentral.